Molecule: ribosomal RNA, 306 nt
Filed under: uncultured Streptococcus sp.
Lineage: Bacteria; Bacillati; Bacillota; Bacilli; Lactobacillales; Streptococcaceae
Description: bacterial SSU rRNA
Rfam family: Bacterial small subunit ribosomal RNA
Source: RNAcentral
UUAGGUUAACGUCCCGCAACGAGCGCCAACCCUAUUGUUAGUUGCCAUCAUUCAGUUGGGCACUCCAGCGAGACUGCGGUAAUAAACCGGAGGAAGGUGGGGAUGACGUCAAAUCAUCAUGCCCCUUAUGACCUGGGCUACACACGUGCUACAAUGGUUGGUACAACGAGUUGCGAGUCGGUGACGGCGAGCUAAUCUCUUAAAGCCAAUCUCAGUUCGGAUUGUAGGCUGCAACUCGCCUACAUGAAGUCGGAAUCGCUAGUAAUCGCGGAUCAGCACGCCGCGGUGAAUACGUUCCCGGGCCUU